UAUAUUUUGUAUGCUUUUGUAUGCUUUUAUAUGCUUUUGUAUAAAAUUUCUACCCGCAACCGUAAAUAUAUAAACUGCCAAGUUAUGCUUUAUUCGCCAUCGAUGAUAUGCUCCUCUUUGCGAACGACACGCAUACUACGAAUAUGUAGGGUAACGCCGAGAGGAAUUUCCCCCACCUUAAGAAACUGCACCCCCACUAUAGGCUAUAUACUAAUACCACUAAUCACUCAUAGUACUUGGAUGUAUAUACCAGAGAGUACAUCCUAAGUACAACUAGGUUAAGCCGAGA
Molecule: non-coding RNA, 289 nt
Organism: Drosophila bipectinata
Lineage: Eukaryota; Metazoa; Arthropoda; Insecta; Diptera; Drosophilidae
Source: RefSeq, a predicted model, not a curated record